Molecule: ribosomal RNA, 255 nt
Filed under: uncultured prokaryote
Description: partial 16S ribosomal RNA
Rfam family: Bacterial small subunit ribosomal RNA
Source: RNAcentral
AUACGUAGGGUGCAAGCGUUAAUCGGAAUUACUGGGCGUAAAGCGUGCGCAGGCGGUCCGUUGUGUCCGAUGUGAAAGCCCCGGGCUUAACCUGGGAAUGGCAUUGGAAACUGGCGGGCUCGAGUGUGGCAGAGGGGGGUGGAAUUCCGCGUGUAGCAGUGAAAUGCGUAGAGAUGCGGAGGAACACCGAUGGCGAAGGCAGCCCCCUGGGCCAACACUGACGCUCAGGCACGAAAGCGUGGGGAGCAAACAGGA